AAGGCCAGCAGCUUCUUUUUUGUCAAGCUGCCUGCUUGCCAGUCACCUUGUAGAAUCAAGCCUUCCCCAAGGAAAGCAUCCAUUGGAUUUUAUGUCUACUGCCUGAAAUCACAAGGAGGCAGAGCCCGCUCCUGCCCUCUGGAAGCCAAUGAGAGAACUCCUUGACUUCACUGGGAACGCGUUCAAGUAAUGAUUCAGGAUAUUUAUAUGAGCAUCUGCAAUGUGUGUAUGCGAAAGGGAAGCGUGCAUCCUCUUAUCUCUCCCACACUUUACCUGUUGUCCUACUGCCACCGCUUCCCCUGAUAUCCCGUGCCUCUACAGCCCACUCAGACAGAAAUCCUCAGGUUAAUAAUGGUAAGUACUGAUAAGAUGAAAAAGGCAAUAAAGUGUGCUCAAAGGGGCACUCUUUGAUCUCUCAGCAAUAUUCUACUUCCACUGAUCUCGAGUGCUGUCAAUACUUUAAUGACACAAACAACCUGGCCCAGAGGGUGCAGAGCUGGUAGAGCUGCAUCACUCUGUGCUAUGUCUCAGCCUGACCACUGCAAGUUGAAACUGAAGGAAUGUUUUCUCUUUAACAAGUUUCAUGAGCAAUAGAGCGAGAUUCGUGUGGGUUGGUUUUUUUUCCCCACUGAAAUGAAUGUCUUGGUCCUAUUCACACAUCCUCAGCUUUUCGCUAGCCCUCCUCUGCAGGAAGAUAUCAUUUAAAUAUUACUUUAGCUGUUUUAUUUUUAGUAGUUUUAUAUUUUAACUUUAUUUGCAUGGGAUAAAUAAACAGUUAAUGAGCAUUUUAUAUGAGCAUGUGUAGCUAACAGUAAGCUUUCCCACUGUUAGACUAUUCCUGCAAAACAUUGCAAGAGUUUAGGGCUGAAAAUUUUCUUGUCCAAGCAAGCACAGCCUCAUAGAAUCACAGAAUCACCAAGGCUGGCAAAGACCUCCAAGAAUAUCUAGUCCAACCAUCAUGGAAGUGUUGUGCAGGACUUGAAGGGAAUGGUAGCCCUGAGCAGAGCUCAAUCCAUAGACCUCAUCCAUGCUGGAGUGUCUACAACCCCAGGCAGGGCGCUGUAAGGAAGAAGCACAGUUUGCUCCAGAGCUGUCUUGGAAGCUCUGCCCAGGUUGCCCAGAUGCUCAGGCCCUGCUGACCUGCUCCAUCUUCACCCACUCACAUAGACAAUCACUGGGAACUUCUAAUAUUCCUUCCCUUGACAUAAAUAUCUGUAGGUUUCUGGAUGGUCUGAGUUCGAGAACUCAGCAGAAAAGUUGGUUACAUAUCAGUCUUUGAGUUUCAGAUACUUAACAGGGAAGGAUUUUCUUGUAGCUGAACUUUCUCUUAUGAUAAUGUGUCAAGUCUGAUGAGAUCCCAAUUGCCUCCUUCACAAUUGGAUCAUCUUCACCCUUUCCCUCCACCAACUGCUGUCAGUAAUGCAAAUGCAUGUGAAGAGGUUUAAAGAGAAGGGAAGGAUUUUCUCUCUGAAAACAAAAUAAAUUCCUCAAAAACAAAUUUGUAAAGGACUUAGAUUAUCAAGAUCAUUAAAUCACACAGGUUUUGAAAUAGCACAACCCUCAAAUGUUAUAUAUGCACAAGAAGUGUAACCUUCCUUCCUCAUAUUACCCAACACUGAAAUUAGCUACAUUAUUCCCAUAUUUUUUCUAGAUUCUUUUCAUCAUUCCUUUUGCAAGGCCGUAGCGUAGGGAGGCACACUUCUUUGACCUGACUCACCAUACCAGAAGAGCAAAUUCAAUAUGGGAAUACAAAUCCACAACCAGUCAAAUGGGAGCCUAUCCUUGACAGAGGAAACUCCACGCUUACAACUGUGGCUGCUGACCUAGGCAUACAAGAUAUGUAUGUACAACUUCAUCUCAGAAUCAACAUCCGAAUUUGCAGCAUGAUUUCAAGUUAAUUUUGGAGAAAAAUAACAGACGUAUUAAUUCAUUUUUAUAAAUGGGGCAAAAAUUAAAACAUGGAAAACCUUCCCGACAGCUGAUUGCUGAGCAUUUCCCUGAUAUUUUGCAUCUCACAGUGAGCUUCAGCUAAUUGUCAGUAAGGAACCUGAAACACUUUCUAAGCAGAUUUAAAAGAGAGUUAGAAGAGCAUCAGUAAACAAUUAAACUACAGUUUUAUGAUGACACAGAAUUUAGUAAUGAGGCUUCAUAUUUGUUUCCAACACGCAAUAGAUUUGAAAUAAACCCCAUUCCGUGUCAGAAAAAAAGCAAAGCCUGAAUUGACAGUGCAGCAGAGAAUUUAUUUUUUCCCCUUUUCUCCCAAGCUGAAGUUAUUAUCACAACUGCUAGAGAAUUUGUGAGAUUGGGAGAUAAGAAUCAUUAUGAUCCAUUGGGGACUCGUCAAUCACAGCAAACUGCUACCAGAAUCGAAAUUGCAUCUGCAUUUGAAUUAGCAACAUUACUCGCCAAUUUAGUUCAGAGUGAACAUUUUUCCAUUGAAGAUGGAAUUAAAUUAGAAAAUGAGUGAGUCUUUAAUUUCCAGAUUAUAAAUCACUGAAAAUAAUUCAACUCCUGUACCUUAAGGCCAAUUACAUUAUCCUAAGCGACAUUUUAUCUCACAACCUUCCAAGUGAUUUCAUGAUGGGGAACCAUCACACAAAUCAGUUUUGCUCUAGUAGCAAGAAAUAUAUCUACCCACAGAGUUAGACAUAAAAUACUAGGAACAGUUUUAAUGCUGUAGCUUAUUUUACAUGAAAUUUGAUUGUCUGUUUGAUAGUAUAUUUUCAUGUAUUAAUGAGCUGAUGCAUAUACCAGAAAUGGUCAAGUUAGGUGACCAAAUCAGAUACAAAAUGAAAAAAGUCAGAAGGAAUUUACUGGCUUAUUGAAUUUUUGCCACUACCAUGCCACAGUCCUCAAUAAGAACAUAACGGAGUACUUGUAAUACAAACAACAUAGAGAUUUAAAGUCACAGGGUAAAAAAAAAAACCUUUUUUCCUAAGUGCUCAGUGUUAUCAACAGCACAAAACAACAAUGAAAAUAAUAAGUAUUUUGUUUUGGCAUAUAAUAGCUACAAUUCGAAUUGUUCUUAAAGGAGAAAUCAAUCAUUUCUAAGUAUAAAUAUUUUUGGUGAGUUUUCUUUUUUCCUUCCUUUUUGCAAGGGCAGAAGAGACUCUCAACAACCUGGCAGUACCCAUUCUCCAUUAAAAAAGAUGCAGCAUAAAAUGAGAGCUCUUAUAAAUGGAAUGGCCAUGCCUGCAUAUACACAUUCGUUCAAGUCAACUAUAAUCAGGUUGCUAUUGAUACCCUAAUGUUCACACAGAACUCUUAGAACAUCUGUCUGCAAAAACCUUGAAGGAACUGUGCCAUCAAAAGGAACCUAGAGAAUCCCAGUUUUCUGUAUGAUGUGAUAGUGGUUAUGUGACCACAAAGGAAAUAAAAUUGGAUCUAGUAGAAACACCUGUGGAACAAGAUAGUUAUCAUCCAGCAAGCAGAACAUGCAAAGGCUCAGUCCUUAUCCUUCUUGUAAGCUUAAGUUCCUGUCCACAUUAAAUCUAUGAGAUCCAUCCUGAAGUUAGGCACCUAAGCAAGCUGCUUCUCGCAGGUCAUAAGAGCAAUAAGGAAGAGUUAUUGGGCAUCCUGUCUGCAAGGCUCUGAUUUUGACAUGUCCUCUUCCUAAAAAUAUUUGAACACCUGCUCCACUUCCAAGAUGUUCUCCUCAAUGUCAACAUUUACAGCUGGAUCCUCCUAAAUGCCCUCCCUACUUAUGAGUGAGAAUCAGACUUUUCACUUGAAGUGAGUAUGGUUCCAUCAUCACCAUUACACCCAUUUUACUUUGACUUUUCUUAUACAAAACUUCAAGCAUAAAUCAUGCUCACAGGCUCACCUAUCAUACAUAAAUCCAGUGGCAAACAACUGAAGCUAAUUGGUCUUGUCCUUACACUGAGCUUGGAAGGCAGUUUUCAUGGUGAGCAAAGCACUGAGAAACACUUCGAGGAUCCUUACUCAGGAGCUGGAUGUGUGAAAAGAAACGUGUUGGACAUUUUCUCUCAUCUCUUCCCUUUAAAUCUGGAGUCUUCCAAGGCUGUCUAAAGACUGUCCCAAUGCACUGGAAAGAGAACUACAGCUUGAACCCAGAGUCCUACGGUGAAGAGAGAAGUCCAUCCAUACAAUGGUUUAAACCUUUUCCUUAUAAAUGAAGAUACAGUCCUUUGGACAGAUAAUUUUCUCACAAAAUUAAUUGAACCAACUUUCUGUUAAAUUUAGUCUCUAAUUCCCUAUAAAUACAUUUUUUACCAACUUUUUUUUUUUUUUAAACCAUUUUGUCAUGCACUACAGAUGCUACCCAGAAUUCAGCAAUGCCAGAGUAAUUGAAAACUGAAUAAAAUUUCCCAUCGAGAUAAAUUUUAGUUUUGUUCUGCAAUACUAUUCUAUUAUUCUGUUCGUUUAACUUUUGGAAGGUAGCAAAAUAACGAUAAAUAUGGGAUUGUUGUGUUUAAUUGAACAUAUAAUGCAAAGAUGCUGUUUCUCAAGAUAUUCUGUACCCUUUACUUCCAUUUAAUUAUGUAUGAACUCAAAAAAAAAACCCUCUCAAAUAAUGUGAGACGUCUACUAGGGGAGAAGAUUUAAAGAUGAUAAAUGUUAUUUAGAAUCACUGUGAUAUGAUUCAUAUUGUGAUGCAAUUGGGAACAAUAUUAAAACCCACCAAGGCUAUUAUACCUAAAUUUUUGUUUCAAUUCAUGCAAUAUUGCUGCUGCUUAAUAUGAUUUCUAUUUACUUCUUUCCAUUGUUAGUGUUUUAUUGAGGUUGUGUCGGCUUUAUCAAGCUAAUCUUUGCUGCAAAUGGAGGUCAGCAGAGCCAAAGCACUGGCAAAAAGCCUGUCUCCAUUAUAUUCCUCUCAGUAUGAAUUUGCUUGAAAAUCGUCUCUAAUACAAACUCUUUCUUCACCAUUCUUCAAUUAUAAUAUUUCUACCUGCACAAACCCUGACAGCUUGAUAUUUAAAAGCUAUAUGAACUCUCACAAUCUAAUUUUAUAUUCUUUAUGAAGAGAUACUGUACAUCAUUUAAAGUAACUGUGAAAGCAUUAAUCAGAAGGCUUAGAAUUAUGUAAUCUUGGCCACAAAUAAAAGCUUGAAUUUCAGGUAAUUUUAAUUAAAACUUACAAACAUACACAGCUACUUUUAUUGACAAUGACAGUAAGUCAUUAAUUUGCAUUCUUUGAGUGUCGAGGUGAAGGUAAGUAAUCCUGUCAUGCCCUUGCUGGAACACAAUUUGGCAAAACAGGAUAUUGUAGAAGCUUUAUAAAUCUUAUAUCUAUAUUUCUCCCUGUACUGGUCUAGGAAAUAAUGAAAAAGAGCAUCACAUAAAUUUACCUACCAAAUGGGGUAUGCUCUCUCCUGAAUACCCACACACAACUUCCAUUAGUAUAAAAUAUACAUGCACACCAAGGGGAAGGAUUGUCUACCAGAUAUACAAAGGCCUAGAAUAACAGCAGAAUUAAAGUCCCUUUAGUAACUUCCAAUCCACUCUAGAUCACUGGGAAGAUAUAUUUGUUAGUUUGAGUUAAGCCUUGAACCUAAAAUACUUGCAUAAAAAUAACUAAAGGUACACCACAAUGGAAUAAACUGAUCCCCAGAGAGAGUCUUAGAUCUGCUUUGGUUUAAGUUGUUAGGUUUGCAUAGUGUUAAUUGUAGUUUAAAAUCAAGGAAACUCUAUUUAAAAAGAAAAACCAACAAGCCAAAACCCUCAAAGUUGUUUUUCAGGACUUUUUGUAUUAAGUUUCUAAAUACAUUUUGGGAUAGGUGAUUGAAAUCUGACAAAAAAAACCCACAGCAUUUUAUAAUAAUGUCCCGCAGCAAAACUAUGGCACCAAUAACUAAACAAUACUUUAUCACCUUUGCCACUCUCAACAGCUCCCAUUAAUACUGAGAUCAUAGUGUUAGGCCUUCUAUUCCCCAGCUGACCAUGUUAGUGACAGCCAGGGCUUGGGCAAUGACAGUGAAAAAUAUUUGCUAUGACACAGCCACAAAUCACUGUGAGACAAGUUUAAAACUCAAUAUUCACUGAUCUUGCAUCUGUUCUUUUCUUGUUAGAACAUCAACAACACAUUUAUUAUAAGUUGAAUUCCUCAAAGUAUCAAAGCAUUGAUGGAAAGUGAUAAAAAUUAUUGUCUGAUAAAACUAGGUGCACAGAGGGGCCUUUGUCAAGUCAAUUAUUCACACGAAGCUAUCGUCUGAGAAGGAAUCAGAAUGUCUGACAAAGAGAUUUUACUAAGACUGGUGUUCAUUUACAUAAAAAGCACCCAGCGCAUGAACACGUAAAUCAAAUUUUCUUAAUGGUCGUAUCAUACAAGUAUUGAUUUCUAUUUCCAUCUCUCCCUGGGAACCUAAGCAGACAGAUGACAUAGUAACAGCUACAGGACAUUGUUGUUUUGGAUUUGAACAAGACUCUUCUGAAGCUUGCCAUUUCUGGGCAUGGUGGUUAGUAGAUGUCCUAGAUACACAGCUCCAAGAGAAGGUGUAAUGCUUUGAAAUCACCAGGAGAUCUGAUCAAACAGAACGGCAGGUAGCCUACAGCAGAUCUUCUGGUAUUCCUUACUAUAGGAAAUUUUGGAGAAGAGCAUGAACAGGACCACAAUAGUAUCAGGCAAACUGAAUGCCAACAAUUCCAUAUACAGAUGCAUAUAUAAAAGAAAGAUGGCAGUGGUGCACCUCACCCAUAUCACUAAUCCAGUGAUAACAAAAGCAGGAAAAAAUAAGGGGUCAGUAGACUGAAGGUGGACUGGAGAUAUUUAAAAUUCACCUGGAAAUUUUCUUGUGCAACCUACUGCCGUGAAUCUGAUUCUGUGACUGCAAAUACUGACCCAGCCUCCAUAUCUCUGCUCCCUCGUGAGCACUUCUUGUCGCUGUUGCCUGAUUACAGGACAAGGCAGAUUGCUGGUCUGAUGCAGCAAGGGCUGUCUUGUGUUGUCAAAGGGCAAAAGUUGUUUCUAACACAUGCUGAACUCCAUAUCAAAAUUCUGUAAUCAGAUUUCUUCUGGCCCACAUAUUCUAGUAGAUGAUUUUCCUGAUGAAGAAUGUCUUCAGUAAUAGCAAACUUUUGGAGGCAUUGAAGAGGCUGCUCAAGAAGGGGAAUGAUUAAUUCUCAAUAGCAAGUUUUGCAGCAUAUUGAAUGACACAUUCUUACAUUAUAUAUUGAUAUAUAGCACACUGGCCCUAUGCCAUACUGACCAGCAGGUCAUUUCCAACAAGGCAUCGUUUAUAGAUAAUGCAAUAGGUAAGGGACAGAGCCAUAAAUGCUGGCUCUUUCAGUUGCACCAAAAUCUUCUGGAACUUCAUUUUGGUUUGAAUGAUGACUGUCUCGGCUACUGAUAUUAAGCAGAGGCAGCAAUAAAUGUGUGCAAGACCAAUCCUGUCCCUGCUUCCCUGAGGCAAGAGGCAUAGCCUGCAAACUUAAAUUUAAAUAAAGCACAGAAAGUUAGACACUUGUCUGAGGGUCAAUCAAACUUAUUUAAUCAAAAGUUUCUUACAGGUUAGUAUGCCUGACUUCAGUUUAACUGACAAGUAUGUAACACACGUAUUAGUGCUUUUUGCACUUCCCAGUACCUGCAAGAACUCAUACCUAAAAUAAAGUUAAAAAAUGCAUACAGAAUACCCAUAUCACUAUAGCUGCUUCAAAAAACAUAUUUUCAUUGAAUAGUUACAAUUUUUACACCAUCUGCCUCAUUUUUCUAACUUAAGUGUUUGUCCUUAGCUCUUUAUGACCUCUCUUAGGGUAACGCUAUAAUACAAUGUAAAGUACAGCAGCAGUAGCAGGGUGGCACAACCCCAGGCUGCAGCAAAUGAGAACAAGACCAAAGGCAGCAACCAUAGAGGCAGAAACAAAAAAAAGAAAAACUUGCUUACCUUUAGAUGACCUCCAAUACACAGGGAUCUCCAGCAAAAUACUUUUGCCUUCACUGCUAAGCCUUAAAUAAGGUCUGGGAAUGGGUGGAUCCUGGCUCCAGCCCUUCCGGUCACUCAGCCACAUUGCAUGCACCUGAGCUGCCCUGGGUUGGCCCUGCCU
Molecule: long non-coding RNA, 8001 nt
Organism: Lagopus leucura (white-tailed ptarmigan)
Lineage: Eukaryota; Metazoa; Chordata; Aves; Galliformes; Phasianidae
Exons: 3
Source: RefSeq, a predicted model, not a curated record